This 468-nucleotide ribosomal RNA is filed under the name uncultured bacterium. RNAcentral describes it as "partial 16S ribosomal RNA". It matches the Rfam family "Bacterial small subunit ribosomal RNA", at positions 28 to 507 of the family's 1533-position model. The record is from RNAcentral.
GACGAACGCUGGCGGCGUGCUUAACACAUGCAAGUCGAACGGAAAGGCCCUGCUUUUGUGGGGUGCUCGAGUGGCGAACGGGUGAGUAACACGGGAGUAACCUGCCCUGGACUUUGGGAUAACUUCAGGAAACUGGGGCUAAUACCGGAUAGGAGCGCCUGCUGCAUGGUGGGGGUUGGAAAGUUUCGGCGGUUGGGGAUGGACUCGCGGCUUAUCAGCUUGUGGGUGGGGUAGUGGCUUACCAAGGCUUUGACGGGUAGCCGGCCUGGGAGGGUGACCGGCCACAUUGGGACUGAGAUACGGCCCAGACUCCUACGGGAGGCAGCAGUGGGGAAUAUUGCACAAUGGGCGGAAGCCUGAUGCAGCAACGCCGCGUGCGGGAUGACGGCCUUCGGGUUGUAAACCGCUUUCGCCUGUGACGAAGCGUGAGUGACGGUAAUGGGUAAAGAAGCACCGGCUAACUACGUG